UGUGUGACUGCGUACCUUUUGUAUAAUGGGUCAGCGACUUAUAUUCUGUAGCAAGGUUAACCGAAUAGGGGAGCCGGAGGGAAACCGAGUCUUAAUUGGGCGUUAAGUUGCAGGGUAUAGACCCGAAACCCGGUGAUCUAGCCAUGGGCAGGUUGAAGGUUGGGUAACACUAACUGGAGGACCGAACCGACUAAUGUUGAAAAAUUAGCGGAUGACCUGUGGCUGGGGGUGAAAGGCCAAUCAAACCGGGAGAUAGCUGGUUCUCCCCGAAAGCUAUUUAGGUAGCGCCUCGUGAAUUCAUCUCCGGGGGUAGAGCACUGUUUCGGCUAGGGGGCCAUCCCGGCUUACCAACCCGAUGCAAACUGCGAAUACCGGAGAAUGUUAUCACGGGAGACACACGGCGGGUGCUAACGUCCGUCGUGAAGAGGGAAACAACCCAGACCGCCAGCUAAGGUCCCAAAGUCAUGGUUAAGUGGGAAACGAUGUGGGAAGGCCCAGACAGCCAGGAUGUUGGCUUAGAAGCAGCCAUCAUUUAAAGAAAGCGUAAUAGCUCACUGGUCGAGUCGGCCUGCGCGGAAGAUGUAACGGGGCUAAACCAUGCACCGAAGCUGCGGCAGCGAACGUAUCACCCAAGACAACUUUACGGAGUUGACGAUUGACGGAGCGAAGCGACGUCAAAGCGUUCAUUAAAGUCGAGUUGGCUUAGGGAUACGUUCGUUGGGUAGGGGAGCGUUCUGUAAGCCUGUGAAGGUGUGUCGUGAGGC
RNAcentral lists this ribosomal RNA (764 nucleotides) under Salmonella enterica subsp. enterica. RNAcentral's name for it is "partial 23S ribosomal RNA". It matches the Rfam family "Bacterial large subunit ribosomal RNA", at positions 590 to 1269 of the family's 2925-position model. The record is from RNAcentral. Lineage: Bacteria; Pseudomonadati; Pseudomonadota; Gammaproteobacteria; Enterobacterales; Enterobacteriaceae.